This 67-nucleotide transfer RNA is filed under the name Pnyxia scabiei. RNAcentral describes it as "tRNA-Val". Lineage: Eukaryota; Metazoa; Arthropoda; Insecta; Diptera; Sciaridae. The record is from RNAcentral.
CAAUUUAAAUUAAAGAGAGAUUUUUUUUUACAUUGAGAACAUAUUUGUGAGAAUCAAAUUAAAUUGA